AUUUUAACCCCUGCUGCCCGUGCGUUAAUGUACUCAAUUAUCCCUGCCGCCUCUUUCAUUGUUUUGAACGGUCGAACAAAGUGAGGAGACGGAGCUGAACGAGAAAGGAAGACAGCGCGCGCAAAGUUGGUCUGAGAUCUGAACGAAUUGUAAAGGAUUGGUCUUAAGGGAAACAAAGUUGGUUUUCCUUCUAACUAAGGGUGGGCAACAAAUUGGAGUAUCAGAACCUGAAAUUGAACACAAAGCCCUAUCAGAACAGACACAUUGGGUUUAUAGUAUGCAGGUUCAAUGUGGGAUGAACUCAAGAAUAUUAGGCAAGCCAUAGGAUUUCUGGUCAUACAUAAAAACCC
Rosa chinensis is the source of this 350-nucleotide long non-coding RNA. RefSeq lists it as uncharacterized. NCBI's taxonomy places the organism in Eukaryota, Viridiplantae, Streptophyta, Magnoliopsida, Rosales, Rosaceae. The record is from RefSeq and is a predicted model, not a curated record. The transcript has 4 exons.